RNAcentral lists this ribosomal RNA (549 nucleotides) under uncultured bacterium. RNAcentral describes it as "partial 16S ribosomal RNA". It matches the Rfam family "Bacterial small subunit ribosomal RNA", at positions 355 to 896 of the family's 1533-position model. The record is from RNAcentral.
UGGGGAAUUUUGGACAAUGGGCGCAAGCCUGAUCCAGCCAUGCCGCGUGCGGGAAGAAGGCCUUCGGGUUGUAAACCGCUUUUGUCAGGGAAGAAAUCUUCUGAGUUAAUACCUCGGGAGGAUGACGGUACCUGAAGAAUAAGCACCGGCUAACUACGUGCCAGCAGCCGCGGUAAUACGUAGGGUGCAAGCGUUAAUCGGAAUUACUGGGCGUAAAGCGUGCGCAGGCGGUUUUGUAAGACAGAGGUGAAAUCCCCGGGCUCAACCUGGGAACUGCCUUUGUGACUGCAAGGCUUGAGUGCGGCAGAGGGGGAUGGAAUUCCGCGUGUAGCAGUGAAAUGCGUAGAUAUGCGGAGGAACACCGAUGGCGAAGGCAAUCCCCUGGGCCUGCACUGACGCUCAUGCACGAAAGCGUGGGGAGCAAACAGGAUUAGAUACCCCUGGUAGUCCACGCCCUAAACGAUGUCAACUGGUUGUUGGGAAGGUUCCUUCUCAGUAACGUAGCUAACGCGUGAAGUUGACCGCCUGGGGAGUACGGCCGCAAGGUUG